Molecule: ribosomal RNA, 579 nt
Filed under: uncultured Cedecea sp.
Lineage: Bacteria; Pseudomonadati; Pseudomonadota; Gammaproteobacteria; Enterobacterales; Enterobacteriaceae
Description: bacterial SSU rRNA
Rfam family: Bacterial small subunit ribosomal RNA
Source: RNAcentral
ACGGGUGAGUAAUGUCUGGGGAUCUGCCUGAUGGAGGGGGAUAACUACUGGAAACGGUAGCUAAUACCGCAUAACGUCGCAAGACCAAAGAGGGGGACCUUCGGGCCUCUUGCCAUCGGAUGAACCCAGAUGGGAUUAGCUAGUAGGUGGGGUAAUGGCUCACCUAGGCGACGAUCCCUAGCUGGUCUGAGAGGAUGACCAGCCACACUGGAACUGAGACACGGUCCAGACUCCUACGGGAGGCAGCAGUGGGGAAUAUUGCACAAUGGGCGCAAGCCUGAUGCAGCCAUGCCGCGUGUGUGAAGAAGGCCUUCGGGUUGUAAAGCACUUUCAGCGAGGAGGAAGGCAUUAAGGUUAAUAACCUUGGUGAUUGACGUUACUCGCAGAAGAAGCACCGGCUAACUCCGUGCCAGCAGCCGCGGUAAUACGGAGGGUGCAAGCGUUAAUCGGAAUUACUGGGCGUAAAGCGCACGCAGGCGGUUUGUUAAGUCGGAUGUGAAAUCCCCGGGCUCAACCUGGGAACUGCAUUCGAAACUGGCAAGCUUGAGUCUUGUAGAGGGGGGUAGAAUUCCAGGUGUA